CUAAUGUCGUGCAAGAGUCAUUGCCAAGAAAGGAAAGGGGAAGGUGAUCAAGGAGUGACUCGAGAAAAUUUACGGUUAGUAUUACCAUAAUUCGAAUUUAAUUAUUAAUUGUUAAAAUUUAAAUUAAUAUACAUGAUAAGAAAAUUGAGGUGAGUAUCAUGAUUGAAUCGAAUGAAAUAUAUAUAUAUAUAUAUAUAUAUAUACAUAUUGAUAUUGAAUUUAUUGAUAGUAAUUGUUGAAUUUUGAAUAAUAUGUUUAGUAAAUAAAAAUAAGGAGAAUAUCGAUAUUUAAUUGAAUGAAUUAAAAAUAUGAAUUGAAUAAAAGUGAAUUAAAUUAUGAAUAAGUGUGAAUACGUGAAUUGAGUAUUGACUGAAAAGUGGUUUGAUUCGAAUCGAGGUAUGAUUUGUGAAAUAUGUAUUGGUGCUGAAUUGUAUAUUGAUUUGAAAGUGGGAAGUGAAUUUCAAAUAGAAAAAUAUAUUGAAUCAAAUGGUGAUUAAAUUGUAUAAUGAUUUGAAUUGAAAGUAUGAGAAAGUGAGUGAACUGAACUGUGAUUCGGAAACCCUAUUAACUAGUCGGGCUGAGUCGGAUAUAGUUGGCAUGCCAUAGGAUUGGAAGUGUUCAGGGAUACCUCCGACCUUGACUCUGUGAGACACUAGGUGUCAUACUGUUACUUCGUAUAGAUUCGAUGAGGUNNNNNNNNNNNNNNNNNNNNNNNNNNNNNNNNNNNNNNNNNNNNNNNNNNNNNNNNNNNNNNNNNNNNNNNNNNNNNNNNNNNNNNNNNNNNNNNNNNNNGAACUAUCCGAUGAGGCACUGGGUGCCGUACUGGUGUGUUUGGUUGGAUCCGUGUAUCCGCCAAAGUCCGAGUCAUGUUAAUAGGGGGAAAUAAAAGAAUUGAAGUAAGAAAUGAUAUUGAAUUAUGAAUUAUGUGAAUAUUUGAAGGUAUAUGGAUUGAUUAAAAGCAAUUUGAAUUGAAGUAAAUUGAUUUGAAAUAAGACAUUGAAUUGAGAUGUGAAAAUGGAAUGUGAGAAUUAUGGUUCAAGAAACAAAUAAUGAUAAAUUUUAUGAAAUAGUUUUUGGUAAUAUGAAAUGAUGUAAAAAUGACAAGUGAAAAUAAAAUGAUUUGAAAUAGUGGAAUAAUAUGUGAAUUUAAUUGAAUACAAGUUAUUGAAUUUUAUUUAUGGAUUUAAUGUGUAAAUUGAGUGUUAAAAGAUUAUAAGUGUAAAAUUGAAUAUAAAUAGAAAUGAUAAUGAAUGAGUUGAUGAAAUGAUUGAGUUUGUAUGGAUUGGAAUGAGUUAUUAAAAUGAGAUGUUGAAAAAUCCAAUAAAAUUUAGAUAGCGAAACAAGGUAUGAAUACAAUUAAAUAUAAGAUUGAAAUAUUGCUUAUUGUUAUUAAUGAUCAAGUUGAUUUAAAGUAUGAGGCAAUUAACGAAUAAUUGUAGACAUAAAUUAAAUGUAUAUAAAUUAUCGAUUAAAGUUAUUAAUUUGAAUUAUGGUAAUACCACUGAGUAUUCCCAUACUCAGCGUACGGUUGUUUCCGUGCGCAGGUUAGUAGAAAACCAGUGUUCGGUCCAGCAUCCAGAGUAAUCCCGACCUCAGAGUAAUUUAGCGAUGUAUUUUUCUUUUGAUAACGUGGCAUGUACCUAAGUAAUGUUUAUACCUAAGUGAUGUAUAGGGAUUAGUCAAUUUGAAUGUUUGUAUCUAUGAUAUUGCUAAAGGAAGAUGUGUGAGUAUGUGAUAAUGUUUGGCUUUUACAAUGGUUAAGUAUGAAUAUGUUUGGUAAUAUGUAUGUUUAGAUGAUAAAUCAUGCAUGGAAAUCAUGAAAGAGUAAAAAUUUGUAAAGAAACAGAUUUCAAGCAGCUACAGUGAUGUGACUUUGAAAAAUCACCUAGGAUAGUAUAAAAUUAAUUAGAGGGUGAAUGAUAUAUGGAAUUAAAGCUUGUUGAGUCUAUUUUCAUGGAAAAAUAACGGUUUAACAAAAGAAAUUUUAUAUUUUGAGAUAUGAGAACUUUAGUGAGACAGGGUCAGAACUGUUUUUGGAGUCC
RNAcentral lists this long non-coding RNA (2042 nucleotides) under Gossypium raimondii (Peruvian cotton). RNAcentral describes it as "long non-coding RNA (GRAI_LNC007141)". Lineage: Eukaryota; Viridiplantae; Streptophyta; Magnoliopsida; Malvales; Malvaceae. The record is from RNAcentral.